RNAcentral lists this ribosomal RNA (305 nucleotides) under uncultured bacterium. RNAcentral describes it as "bacterial SSU rRNA". It matches the Rfam family "Bacterial small subunit ribosomal RNA", at positions 337 to 660 of the family's 1533-position model. The record is from RNAcentral.
GCCUACGGGGGGCAGCAGUGGGAAAUAUUGCACAAUGGGGGAAACCCUGAUGCAGCGACGCCGCGUGAGUGAAGAAGUAUUUCGGUAUGUAAAGCUCUAUCAGCAGGGAAGAUAAUGACGGUACCUGACUAAGAAGCCCCGGCUAACUACGUGCCAGCAGCCGCGGUAAUACGUAGGGGGCAAGCGUUAUCCGGAUUUACUGGGUGUAAAGGGUGCGUAGGCGGUCUGUUAAGUCAGCGGUCAAAGCCCGGGGCUCAACCCCGGCCCGCCGUUGAAACUGGCAGUCUCGAGUUGGAGAGAAGGAU